GCUGGGUGUGGUGGUGCACGCUUGUAAUCCCAGCUACUCGGGAGGCUGAGGCAGGAGAAUCGCUUGAACCCGGGAGGCCGAGGUUGCAGUGAGCUGAGAUCACAGCACUGCACUCCAGCCUGGGCGACAGAGCAAGACUCUGUCUCAA
This is an unclassified non-coding RNA of Pongo abelii (Sumatran orangutan), 148 nucleotides long. It matches the Rfam family "Metazoan signal recognition particle RNA". From Rfam's summary of the family: The signal recognition particle (SRP) is a universally conserved ribonucleoprotein. Lineage: Eukaryota; Metazoa; Chordata; Mammalia; Primates; Hominidae. The record is from Ensembl.